RNAcentral lists this ribosomal RNA (428 nucleotides) under uncultured delta proteobacterium. RNAcentral describes it as "bacterial SSU rRNA". It matches the Rfam family "Bacterial small subunit ribosomal RNA", at positions 119 to 523 of the family's 1533-position model. The record is from RNAcentral. Lineage: Bacteria; Deltaproteobacteria.
UGGUAACCUGCCCUUGGUUGGGAUAACUCCUCGAAAGGGGUGCUAAUACCGGAUAACAUUUCGAUCUCCACGGGGAUUGAAAUCAAAGGUGGCCUCUGCAUGCAAGCUACUGCCUGGGGGAUGGGCCCCGCGUACCAUUAGCUAGUUGGUAGGGGUAACGGCCUACCAAGGCUGCGAUGGUUAGCUGGUCUGAGAGGAUGGCCAGCCACACUGGAACUGAGACACGGUCCAGACUCCUACGGAGGCAGCAGUGGGGAAUCUUGCGCAAUGGGGGAAACCCUGACGCAGCAACGCCGCGUGGGUGAUGAAGGCCUUCGGGUCGUAAAGCCCUGUCAGGUGGGAAGAAACCCAUCGGUGCGAAUAGCACCGGUGAUUGACGGUACCACCGGAGGAAGCACCGGCUAACUCCGUGCCAGCAGCCGCGGUAA